Molecule: ribosomal RNA, 232 nt
Filed under: uncultured bacterium
Lineage: Bacteria
Description: partial 16S ribosomal RNA
Rfam family: Bacterial small subunit ribosomal RNA
Source: RNAcentral
GAUGAACGCUGACAGAAUUGCUUAACACAUGCAAGUCGAUUCGAUUUUACCUUCGGGUAAUGAGGAUGGCGGACGGGUGAGUAACGCGUAAGGAACUUGCCUCUUGGACUGGGGACAACUGUUGGAAACGCAGCUAAAUACCGGAUAUUAUGAGAUUCUCGCAUGAGAAACUUAUGAAAGCUAUAUGCGCCAAGAGAGAGCCUUGCGUUCCAUUAGCUAGUUGGUGGGGUAA